UUACAGGAAAUACUUUGCCAGCAGUAAGAUAAACUGGUUUAGAACCUCUUAUCAUUAAAAACAACAAGCUUUGAGUUACUUUUGGAUUCAUGGUGUACCAUUUAUUACGAAAAAUAUUCAACUAACCUGGGCAACCAAGAUCUCACCAAGAGCACAGUAUAGGCACAUAUGUGCAAAUAUAUUAAGUACAGUGGAUGCAAAAUAUACCAAGUGAGGUAAUGAUAUAUUAUUUCCUUCAUCAAAUAACUAAUUAAUUUACAAAAUAAGACAAAGAUUUUUCAAUACUUAAACUAAUUCAGAAGUUUAUAGUAAUGUUUUAUCACUAAAUAUUAAUUAAUUUACUUUAUAUCAAUUUAGUUUUCAUAUAAAGUUUUAAAACACUUACAGUAAUUAUCCGGAAACCGUAGAAAGCAAACAGUAUCGCAAAAUAUACGAAUAAGAAAAGAAGUAUUACAUUAUACGUAUCUUCAAUAAUGUCAAUAGCUCUGUAAAAGAUGGCUCGUAUUACAUAUAAAUAAAGUUGCACACGUAUUUGAAAUAAAUUAUUUUAAUAUGUAAAGAUCAAAC
Long non-coding RNA from Solenopsis invicta (red fire ant), 567 nucleotides. RefSeq lists it as uncharacterized. The transcript is spliced from 2 exons. Lineage: Eukaryota; Metazoa; Arthropoda; Insecta; Hymenoptera; Formicidae. The record is from RefSeq and is a predicted model, not a curated record.